GGAUGUGAGCUGCUCUGGAAUUCUGUUCUGUCAUCCCAUUGAUUGCCAAGGUUAAUUGCUGAUCUAGCUGGCUAGGCGGGAGUUCCGGUCCUUCCUCACAGCUCCAUGUGUGUGCCCUGGCAAAGCCACUCCUGUGGCUGAAGGGGAAGACCACCUAGCAAGUGGGACCCACAGUUCUUCGGUCAAGGGCACCCAAAUAGAUGCACAUUCCAGCUAAAACCUUCAAAUAAGCUCUCAAAAGAUGAAAGUUGGGGCUGGAGAGAUGGCUCAACGGUUAAGAGCACUGCUUCUCAGAAGACCUGGGUUGGGCUCCCAG
Molecule: small nuclear RNA, 316 nt
Filed under: Nannospalax galili (Upper Galilee mountains blind mole rat)
Lineage: Eukaryota; Metazoa; Chordata; Mammalia; Rodentia; Spalacidae
Description: 7SK RNA (ENSNGAG00000003452.1)
Rfam family: 7SK RNA
About the family: 7SK was discovered as an abundant small nuclear RNA in the mid-70s but a possible function has only recently been suggested.
Source: Rfam by way of RNAcentral